GUUUUAAUAGUUUAAUUUAAAACUUUGGUCUUGUAUACCAAUAAUGAACCUUAUAUUCUUAAAACU
RNAcentral lists this transfer RNA (66 nucleotides) under Neoglyphea inopinata. RNAcentral describes it as "tRNA-Thr". It matches the Rfam family "tRNA". Rfam says of the family: Transfer RNA (tRNA) molecules are approximately 80 nucleotides in length. Their secondary structure includes four short double-helical elements and three loops (D, anti-codon, and T loops). Lineage: Eukaryota; Metazoa; Arthropoda; Malacostraca; Decapoda; Glypheidae. RNAcentral also lists the same sequence under 1 other name. The record is from RNAcentral.